ACCAGACUCCUACGGGAGGCAGCAGUGGGGAAUAUUGCACAAUGGGCGCAAGCCUGAUGCAGCCAUGCCGCGUGUAUGAAGAAGGCCUUCGGGUUGUAAAGUACUUUCAGCGGGGAGGAAGGCGAUAAGGUUAAUAACCUUGUCGAUUGACGUUACCCGCAGAAGAAGCACCGGCUAACUCCGUGCCAGCAGCCGCGGUAAUACGGAGGGUGCAAGCGUUAAUCGGAAUUACUGGGCGUAAAGCGCACGCAGGCGGUCUGUCAAGUCGGAUGUGAAAUCCCCGGGCUCAACCUGGGAACUGCAUUCGAAGCUGGCAGGCUGGAGUCUUGUAGAGGGGGGUAGAAUUCCAGGUGUAGCGGUGAAAUGCGUAGAGAUCUGGAGGAAUACCGGUGGCGAAGGCGGCCCCCUGGGACGCAACUGACGCUCAUACACGAAAGCGUGGGGAGCAAACAGGAUUAGAUACCCGUGUAA
This 471-nucleotide ribosomal RNA is filed under the name uncultured bacterium. RNAcentral describes it as "bacterial SSU rRNA". It matches the Rfam family "Bacterial small subunit ribosomal RNA", at positions 330 to 793 of the family's 1533-position model. The record is from RNAcentral.